GGGAAGUGCGGGCAGCUAACACAUGCAAGUCGAGCGGUAGCACAGAGAGCUUGCUCUCGGGUGACGAGCGGCGGACGGGUGAGUAAUGUCUGGGAAACUGCCUGAUGGAGGGGGAUAACUACUGGAAACGGUAGCUAAUACCGCAUAACGUCGCAAGACCAAAGUGGGGGACCUUCGGGCCUCAUGCCAUCAGAUGUGCCCAGAUGGGAUUAGCUAGUAGGUGGGGUAAUGGCUCACCUAGGCGACGAUCCCUAGCUGGUCUGAGAGGAUGACCAGCCACACUGGAACUGAGACACGGUCCAGACUCCUACGGGAGGCAGCAGUGGGGAAUAUUGCACAAUGGGCGCAAGCCUGAUGCAGCCAUGCCGCGUGUAUGAAGAAGGCCUUCGGGUUGUAAAGUACUUUCAGCGAGGAGGAAGGCGUUAAGGUUAAUAACCUUAGCGAUUGACGUUACUCGCAGAAGAAGCACCGGCUAACUCCGUGCCAGCAGCCGCGGUAAUACGGAGGGUGCAAGCGUUAAUCGGAAUUACUGGGCGUAAAGCGCACGCAGGCGGUCUGUCAAGUCGGAUGUGAAAUCCCCGGGCUCAACCUGGGAACUGCAUUCGAAACUGGCAGGCUAGAGUCUUGUAGAGGGGGGUAGAAUUCCAGGUGUAGCGGUGAAAUGCGUAGAGAUCUGGAGGAAUACCGGUGGCGAAGGCGGCCCCCUGGACAAAGACUGACGCUCAGGUGCGAAAGCGUGGGGAGCAAACAGGAUUAGAUACCCUGGUAGUCCACGCCGUAAACGAUGUCGACUUGGAGGUUGUGCCCUUGAGGCGUGGCUUCCGGAGCUAACGCGUUAAGUCGACCGCCUGGGGAGUACGGCCGCAAGGUUAAAACUCAAAUGAAUUGACGGGGGCCCGCACAAGCGGUGGAGCAUGUGGUUUAAUUCGAUGCAACGCGAAGAACCUUACCUACUCUUGACAUCCAGAGAACUUAGCAGAGAUGCUUUGGUGCCUUCGGGAACUCUGAGACAGGUGCUGCAUGGCUGUCGUCAGCUCGUGUUGUGAAAUGUUGGGUUAAGUCCCGCAACGAGCGCAACCCUUAUCCUUUGUUGCCAGCGGUCCGGCCGGGAACUCAAAGGAGACUGCCAGUGAUAAACUGGAGGAAGGUGGGGAUGACGUCAAGUCAUCAUGGCCCUUACGAGUAGGGCUACACACGUGCUACAAUGGCAUAUACAAAGAGAAGCGACCUCGCGAGAGCAAGCGGACCUCAUAAAGUAUGUCGUAGUCCGGAUUGGAGUCUGCAACUCGACUCCAUGAAGUCGGAAUCGCUAGUAAUCGUAGAUCAGAAUGCUACGGUGAAUACGUUCCCGGGCCUUGUACACACCGCCCGUCACACCAUGGGAGUGGGUUGCAAAAGAAGUAGGUAGCUUAACCUUCGGGAGGGCGCUUACCACCUUGGAUCCGGGG
Molecule: ribosomal RNA, 1448 nt
Filed under: Klebsiella aerogenes
Lineage: Bacteria; Pseudomonadati; Pseudomonadota; Gammaproteobacteria; Enterobacterales; Enterobacteriaceae
Description: bacterial SSU rRNA
Rfam family: Bacterial small subunit ribosomal RNA
Source: RNAcentral